RNAcentral lists this ribosomal RNA (497 nucleotides) under uncultured bacterium. Its description in RNAcentral is "partial 16S ribosomal RNA". It matches the Rfam family "Bacterial small subunit ribosomal RNA", at positions 28 to 507 of the family's 1533-position model. The record is from RNAcentral.
GAUGAACGCUGGCGGCGUGCCUAAUACAUGCAAGUCGAGCGAACGGACGAGAAGCUUGCUUCUCUGAUGUUAGCGGCGGACGGGUGAGUAACACGUGGAUAACCUACCUAUAAGACUGGGAUAACUUCGGGAAACCGGAGCUAAGACCGGAUAAUAUUUUGAACCGCAUGGUGCAAACGUGAAAGACGGUCUUGCUGUCACUUAUAGAUGGAUCAGCGCUGCAUUAGCUAGUUGGUAAGGUAACGGCUUACCAAGGCAACGAUGCAUAGCCGACCUGAGAGGGUGAUCCGCCACACUGGACCUGAGACACGGUCCAGACUCCUACGGGAGGCAGCAGUAGGGAAUCUUCCGCAAUGCGCGAAAGCCUGACGGAGCAAAGCCGCGUGAGUGAUGAAGGUCUUCGGAUCGUAAAACUCUGUUAUUAGGGAAGAACAUAUGUGUAAGUAACUGUGCACAUCUUGACGGUACCUAAUCAGAAAGCCACGGCUAACUACGUG